GAUAAACGCUGACAGAAUGCUUAACACAUACAAGACUAUUACAUGGCGGACGGGUGAGUAACGCGUAAAGAACUUGCCCUUUAGACUGGGAUAACAGAGGGAAACUUUUGAUAACACUGGAUACUAACGGAGAGCUUUGAGUCCUAUUAGCUAGUUGGAAAGGUAAGAGCUUACCAAGGCGAUGAUGGGUAGCCGGCCUGAGAGGGUGGACGGCCACAAGGGGACUGAGAUACGGCCCUUACUCCUACGAGAGGCAGCAGUGGGGAAGAUUGGACAAUGGAGGAAACUCUGCUCCGGCAAUUCUGUGUGUGUGAAGAAGGUUUUAGGACUGUAAAACACUGUUAGUAGGGAAGCGGUACCUACAGAAGAAGCAACGGCGAAAUACGUGCCAGCAGCCGCGGUAAUUC
This 407-nucleotide ribosomal RNA is filed under the name uncultured bacterium. RNAcentral describes it as "partial 16S ribosomal RNA". It matches the Rfam family "Bacterial small subunit ribosomal RNA", at positions 28 to 526 of the family's 1533-position model. The record is from RNAcentral.